UAUAUUAAUGAAUAUUUAUAUUAUUGAUAAUUAAUUAUUAGUUAAUUAGUAUGCCAGGUGAGAGUGAAUCUGUGUGACUACAGCAUUAUUUUCCACUAUGUAUUAUUGUAGCUUCACAUAACGGACUAGGAUUCUCAGCUAUCAAGCCAGGACCAGUCAGCUGUGCCAACUCAUUGUGACUCCAGCGUCAGGACCGACCGGAUAAGUUCUCUUCGCCAGGGUCAAGGUCAGCAUGGAAUACAUGUGUUGGGUCGUUACGUAGGCCAGGGUCAGCGACUUGCUUGGAGGCUGAGUCACAGUAUAUCUACUAUUGGGAUGGCUGUCGUGUCAAGGACACUAGUGUGUACAUCCCAGCUUUCCUGUCGUGUCUUGGACACUACUUCACAUAACGGACUAGGAUUCUCAGCUAUCAAGCCAGGACCAGUCAGCUGUGCCAACUCAUUGUGACUCCAGCGUCAGGACCGACCGGAUAAGUUCUCUUCGCCAGGGUCAAGGUCAGCAUGGAAUACAUGUGUUGGGUCGUUACGUAGGCCAGGGUCAGCGACUUGCUUGGAGGCUGAGUCACAGUAUAUCUACUAUUGGGAUGGCUGUCGUGUCAAGGACACUAGUGUGUACAUCCCAGCUUUCCUGUCGUGUCUUGGACACUACUUCACAUAACGGACUAGGAUUCUCAGCUAUCAAGCCAGGACCAGUCAGCUGUGCCAACUCAUUGUGACUCCAGCGUCAGGACCGACCGGAUAAGUUCUCUUCGCCAGGGUCAAGGUCAGCAUGGAAUACAUGUGUUGGGUCGUUACGUAGGCCAGGGUCAGCGACUUGCUUGGAGGCUGAGUCACAGUAUAUCUACUAUUGGGAUGGCUGUCGUGUCAAGGACACUAGUGUGUACAUCCCAGCUUUCCUGUCGUGUCUUGGACACUACUUCACAUAACGGACUAGGAUUCUCAGCUAUCAAGCCAGGACCAGUCAGCUGUGCCAACUCAUUGUGACUCCAGCGUCAGGACCGACCGGAUAAGUUCUCUUCGCCAGGGUCAAGGUCAGCAUGGAAUACAUGUGUUGGGUCGUUACGUAGGCCAGGGUCAGCGACUUGCUUGGAGGCUGAGUCACAGUAUAUCUACUAUUGGGAUGGCUGUCGUGUCAAGGACACUAGUGUGUACAUCCCAGCUUUCCUGUCGUGUCUUGGACACUACUUCACAUAACGGACUAGGAUUCUCAGCUAUCAAGCCAGGACCAGUCAGCUGUGCCAACUCAUUGUGACUCCAGCGUCAGGACCGACCGGAUAAGUUCUCUUCGCCAGGGUCAAGGUCAGCAUGGAAUACAUGUGUUGGGUCGUUACGUAGGCCAGGGUCAGCGACUUGCUUGGAGGCUGAGUCACAGUAUAUCUACUAUUGGGAUGGCUGUCGUGUCAAGGACACUAGUGUGUACAUCCCAGCUUUCCUGUCGUGUCUUGGACACUAGUGAGUUUGCCAAUUUGGGCGUUUCAAGCAAGCAUGGUGCUGCUUGAUGUGUUUAUACCUCUUGGCUCUGGAUUGAGCGUGGUUGCAGGUUAGCGACUGUCUUGCACCGGAACUGUACCAGGAUCCCAUUCGUCGUUGUGUGUGUAGCUACAGACUGUAACUUGUAAUAAUUGUGUUUGUGAAUGAGUGAAUUAGUGAGUGUGACGUGUGGGUA
This is a long non-coding RNA of Ylistrum balloti, 1665 nucleotides long. RefSeq lists it as uncharacterized. The record is from RefSeq and is a predicted model, not a curated record. The transcript is spliced from 5 exons. Lineage: Eukaryota; Metazoa; Mollusca; Bivalvia; Pectinida; Pectinidae.